UAGUGGCGAACGGGUGAGUAACACGUGAGUAACCUGCCCCUCACUUCCGGGAUAACUCCGGGAAACCCGGGGCUAAUACCGGAUAUGAGCUCCUUCCGCAUGGUUGGGGUUGGAAAGAUUUAUCGGUGGGGGAUGGGCUCGCGGCCUAUCAGCUUGUUGGUGGGGUGAUGGCCUACCAAGGCUUCGACGGGUAGCCGGCCUGAGAGGGCGACCGGCCACAUUGGGACUGAGAUACGGCCCAGACUCCUACGGGAGGCAGCAGUGGGGAAUAUUGCACAAUGGGCGAAAGCCUGAUGCAGCGACGCCGCGUGAGGGAUGGAGGCCUUCGGGUUGUAAACCUCUUUCAGCAGGGAAGAAGCGCAAGUGACGGUACCUGCAGAAGAAGCGCCGGCUAACUACGUGCCAGCAGCCGCGGUAAUACGUAGGGCGCAAGCGUUGUCCGGAAUUAUUGGGCGUAAAGAGCUCGUAGGUGGUCUGUCGCGUCUGGUGUGAAAUCCCGAGGCUCAACCUCGGGCUUGCAUCGGGUACGGGCAGACUAGAGUGCGGUAGGGGAGACUGGAAUUCCUGGUGUAGCGGUGGAAUGCGCAGAUAUCAGGAGGAACACCGAUGGCGAAGGCAGGUCUCUGGGCCGCAACUGACGCUGAGGAGCGAAAGCAUGGGGAGCGAACAGGAUUAGAU
This 678-nucleotide ribosomal RNA is filed under the name uncultured bacterium. RNAcentral's name for it is "bacterial SSU rRNA". It matches the Rfam family "Bacterial small subunit ribosomal RNA", at positions 93 to 783 of the family's 1533-position model. The record is from RNAcentral.